GCGGGCGUGGCGGAAUGGUAGACGCCGGGGACUUAAAAUCCCCUGUCCUUUGAGACGUGCGGGUUCGAGUCCCGCCGCCCGCACCA
RNAcentral lists this transfer RNA (86 nucleotides) under Erythrobacter sp. RNAcentral's name for it is "tRNA-Leu". It matches the Rfam family "tRNA". From Rfam's summary of the family: Transfer RNA (tRNA) molecules are approximately 80 nucleotides in length. The record is from RNAcentral. RNAcentral also lists the same sequence under 3 other names. Lineage: Bacteria; Pseudomonadati; Pseudomonadota; Alphaproteobacteria; Sphingomonadales; Erythrobacteraceae.